Molecule: ribosomal RNA, 325 nt
Filed under: Alternaria burnsii
Lineage: Eukaryota; Fungi; Ascomycota; Dothideomycetes; Pleosporales; Pleosporaceae
Description: partial large subunit ribosomal RNA
Rfam family: Eukaryotic large subunit ribosomal RNA
Source: RNAcentral
UAAAUGGGAGGUACAUUUCUUCUAAAGCUAAAUAUUGGCCAGAGACCGAUAGCGAACAAGUAGAGUGAUCGAAAGAUGAAAAGCACUUUGGAAAGAGAGUCAAACAGCACGUGAAAUUGUUGAAAGGGAAGCGCUUGCAGCCAGACUUGCUUACAGUUGCUCAUCCGGGUUUUUACCCGGUGCACUCUUCUGUAGGCAGGCCAGCAUCAGUUUGGGCGGUAGGAUAAAGGUCUCUGUCACGUACCUCCUUUCGGGGAGGCCUUAUAGGGGAGACGACAUACUACCAGCCUGGACUGAGGUCCGCGCAUCUGCUAGGAUGUCUGGC